Molecule: ribosomal RNA, 492 nt
Filed under: uncultured bacterium
Lineage: Bacteria
Description: partial 16S ribosomal RNA
Rfam family: Bacterial small subunit ribosomal RNA
Source: RNAcentral
AAUGAACGCUGGCGGCGUGCCUAAUACAUGCAAGUCGAACGAAAACACAAUAAGCUCUUUCCUCUUCGGGUGGCGAGUGGCGGACGAGUGAGGAGUAAAUAAGAUUCUAAUUAGUCGGGGGGGAUCUCGUGGGAAAGAUCAUGCUAACACCGCAUAAGUCCUCCCGUUUUCAGCAGUAGAUAUUCGGACCUUUCGUGAUUCUUAUAGCUGAGGACGGAUUGGCUAGUUGGCUGGGUAAGGGCCCACCAAGGCGAGGAUCCGUAGCUGGUCUGAGAGGAUGAUCAGCCACACUGGAACUGAGACACGGUCCAGACUCCUACGGGAGGCAGCAGUGGGGAAUCUUGGACAAUGGGCGCAAGCCUGACCCAGCCAUACCGCGUGGGUGAAGAAGGCCUUCGGGUUGUAAAGCUCUGUUGUUGGGAAAGAAAAACAGUGGAUGAAACUCUCGCUGUCCUGACGGUACCCAAAGAGUAAGCACCGGCUAACUUCGUG